GACGAACGCUGGCGGCGUGCUUAACACAUGCAAGUCGAACGGUGAACCGCUUCGGAGUGGAGCAGUGGCGAACGGGUGAGUGACACGUGGGCAACCUGCCCCCGGCUCUGGGAUAACUCCAAGAAAUUGGGGCUAAUACCGGAUGUUCACCUCUUCCCGCAUGGGUGGUGGUGUAAAGGGUUUCCGGCUUGGGAUGGGCCCGCGGCCUAUCAGCUGGUGGGUUGGGUAGGGGCCUACCAAGGCGACGACGGUGAGCCGGCCGGAGAGGGUGACCGGCCACCAUGGGACUGAGACACGGACCAGAGUCCUACGGGAGGCAGCAGUGGGGAAUAUUGCGCAAUGGGCGGACGCCUGACGCAGCGACGCCGCGUGGGGGAUGACGGCCUUCGGGUUGUAAACCUCUUUCAGCAGGGACGCAGCGCAAGUGACGGUACCUGCAGAAGAAGCACCGGCCAACUACGUG
This 463-nucleotide ribosomal RNA is filed under the name uncultured bacterium. Its description in RNAcentral is "partial 16S ribosomal RNA". It matches the Rfam family "Bacterial small subunit ribosomal RNA", at positions 28 to 507 of the family's 1533-position model. The record is from RNAcentral.